CAGCCGUAAGCUAUGCUCGCUAGGUGUCAGGCAUGGCGCGACCGUGUCUGGUGCCGCGGGAAGCCGUGAAGCGAGCCACCUGGGAAGUACGGCCGCAAGGCUGAAACUUAAAGGAAUUGGCGGGGGAGCACAACAACGGGUGGAGCCUGCGGUUUAAUUGGACUCAACGCCGGACAACUCACCGGGGACGACAGCAAUAUGUAGGCCAGGCUGAAGACCUUGCCUGAAUCGCUGAGAGGAGGUGCAUGGCGUAGACGUCU
This 260-nucleotide ribosomal RNA is filed under the name uncultured archaeon. RNAcentral describes it as "partial 16S ribosomal RNA". It matches the Rfam family "Archaeal small subunit ribosomal RNA", at positions 748 to 1009 of the family's 1478-position model. The record is from RNAcentral.